CAGGGGACACCUGCGUGGCUCAGUAGGUUAAGAAUCUGUCUUCAGUUGGGAUCACCAUGGAUCCUGGGAUCCGGGGAUCCAGUCCUCACAUUGGACUCCUUGCUCAGCGGGGAGCCUACUUCUCCCUCAGCCUGCAACUUCCGCUGCUUGUGUGCUCUGUCUGACCAAAAAAAAAAAAAAAAAGUACAAGUGCUAGUGGAUCCUCCUUACCCCCCACUUGGGUCAGGCUGAUGUGAACCCCCCUCCCCCGCUCUUACCCUUACACCUCAAUCUCUAGGGAGGAAACCACACUGCGGAGUCUGGUGAUAACAGUUGUGCGUGUGCUUAUAACAGGAAUUCAGAUCAUGCCACCCAGAAUAUGCCACUGUAACAUAUUGAGUAUUUUGAGUUAAAGACACUCCAAAAACUGGAAAUGCAAGAAAAUUGAUGUGAUGUAGGCUGAGGGGGACAGCCAAGAAAGAAUUCUCGAGAACUUUUUGGUGCAAAAAGCUACAGGUGGGAGAGUGCGAUGUCUGAAUGGUGGUCUCAGGUCUUGGAUUCCCCACGGAAGAUUUACUGAAAGAUUUACGUGCGGCCGCGCUGGGGUAAAGAGAGCCAGCAGGAAAGGAGCAAGCACGAAACAGUUUAGGAAGGACUCUCAAGACGGACCCAAGGGCGGCAACGCUCUGGGGUUAGGGGUUUGCAUAGGUUUGGCCGUAGCUAGGGCGGUGUCCCGGUGGAGUUGUUUCCAGUCAUCUAAGGGACUCCUCUUACUGGUCGAAGAGGGUCCAGUUUUUGGCCCUGAAAGGUUCUUGCCCUACCAGUCAUGGCCAUCUUCCCGCUGGGGGGGCGUGUGUGAACCGCAAUGUAAAUACGUUACAAUGAAGCUAUAGGGUACCCAGGGUUAGUCCCCAGGUGUCGGGAGCCGGGAUGUUGUGCCCUCAGGCUUCUCUGUCACCUGUUUAUCACAGUCCUUGCCUCCAGUUCAGGUGUAAGGAACUGAACUCUAUCAAAAGCAGGAGAUGGGGACCCCUGGGUGGCUCAGUUGGUGAAGCUGCCUUUGGGCUCAGGUCACGAUCCUGGGGUUGUGGGAUGGAGCCCUGCAUUAGGUUCCCUGCUCAGCGGGGAGCCUGCUUCUCCCUCUCCCUCUGCCCCUCCCCCCAGCUCACACUCUAGGUAAAAAAAACAAAAACAAAAAAACCCCCCAAAAAAACAAAAACAAAAAACCACACCAGCAGGAGAUGAAAUUCCACACGGAAGAUAUCCUCCCUAUAGCAGAAGGAAAGAAACAUUCGUAUCAUGGAGAAGUUCAGACCAAGAGAAUUCUGUAUACACUUUGUUAAAAAAACUCUGUAUGAAUAGACCUUGUUAAAACAGUUAUCUUUCUUAAGCCUCCCCACAUAAUUUACUUUCCCACAAUUGUGUCACUGUGUUCAACCUAAUAUAAAGCAUGUUGAUUUUUCCGUUUCUUUGGGUCUGAAGACUUCCAUGUCACGUGAAACUUGUAUUAAAUACAUUUGUACGCUUUGC
This is a long non-coding RNA of Ailuropoda melanoleuca (giant panda), 1509 nucleotides long. RefSeq lists it as uncharacterized. The record is from RefSeq and is a predicted model, not a curated record. The transcript is spliced from 2 exons. NCBI's taxonomy places the organism in Eukaryota, Metazoa, Chordata, Mammalia, Carnivora, Ursidae.